Molecule: unclassified non-coding RNA, 192 nt
Filed under: uncultured fungus
Lineage: Eukaryota; Fungi
Description: sequence contains ITS1
Source: RNAcentral
UUAACUUAUUAUAUUUCACUCAGACGACAACAUUCAGAGUUUAGGGGGUCUCUGGCGGGCGCGAGCCAGCUUGCGCCGGCAGCCGUGAGGCAGGCCCGCCAAAGCAACAGAGUAUAAUAAACAAAGGGUGGGAGAUCUACCCCGAAGGGCAAGUUCUCUUUAGUGAUCCUUCCGCAGGUUCACCUACGGAAA